This 74-nucleotide small RNA is filed under the name Xanthomonas cannabis. RNAcentral's name for it is "sRNA sX9". It matches the Rfam family "Xanthomonas sRNA sX9". The record is from RNAcentral. Lineage: Bacteria; Pseudomonadati; Pseudomonadota; Gammaproteobacteria; Lysobacterales; Lysobacteraceae.
GUGUACACGCGUACACUCUGGCUCCGGAGCGUCGCCACACCCACCUGACGACUGCCCGUGACGUUCUAUUAGCC